GAUGAAGAACGUAGUGAAAUGCGAUACUUGGUGUGAAUUGCAGAAUCCCGUGAACCAUCGAGUCUUUGAACGCAAGUUGCGCCCGAAGCUAUUAGGCCGAGGGCACGCCUGCCUGGGCGUCACACGUCGUUGCCCCCCCAUCUACUCCUUCGGGAUUGCGGGGGGCGGAUGAUGGCCUCCCGUGCGCCUCGCCGCGCGGUUGGCAUAAAUGCCAAGUCCUCGGCGACGCACGCCACGACAAUCGGUGGUUGCGAAACCUCGGUUGCCCGUCGUGUGCGGUCGUCGCGCAUCGAGGGCUCGAAAAAAUUGCCGGGUUCCGGCUCGGCUUUCAACGCGACCCCAGGUCAGGCGGGGUUACCCGCUGAAUUUAAGCAUAUCAAUAAGCGGAGGA
This 391-nucleotide unclassified non-coding RNA is filed under the name soil metagenome. RNAcentral describes it as "partial contains 5.8S ribosomal RNA, internal transcribed spacer 2, and large subunit ribosomal RNA". The stretch from base 1 to 122 matches the Rfam family "5.8S ribosomal RNA", at positions 35 to 154 of the family's 154-position model. The record is from RNAcentral.